AUUAAUCUCCAAUGCUGGCGCACAAUAUCAGACUCAGCUAGUGAGCCAGCUGCACGCCAGAGAAGAGUAUUUGCUAGAGUUAUUAGGUACCUUAGUACUGUUAUACAAACCAUGAUGUUGGCCAGACAUCUAGGGUGUAACUCCAUGCUAGCUGUCUAAGUCAUACAUGCUUCCACAUAUUAGUAUUCAUUAGUCUAUGAACCAUCACCAAUGUUAGCUCCUUUUAGGUGGGGACCAAUCCCAAUGCCGUCAUACAACUCUAGACUCAAACCGAAGUGAAUCUGUUGCAGAUCGGUCAUUUUAAUAUAGAGAUUGAUCCCCAGCUGGUGUACAACUCUAGACUCAAACAGAAGUGAACCUGUUGCACACCAGUAAGUAGAGUAUUUGCUACAUAAGUACAUUAAGAGCCAGUGCACGACUAGACCGCAACCCAAAGGGAUGCGGCUGCCGCACACUGGUCAAGUACCAUUUUUAUAUGAAGAUGUUGCUGCCAGGCGAUACGCACUCAACCUCUCUGGUUCCCGAUUAGGUCUGGACCAUCUGCAAAGUGGAGUCGCUCACCACAUCUUGUGCUGUGUCCAAGUUUCCAACACUGAAACAAUACAGAGAUUUUCAUUAAUUCACCAUCUUCGCAGCACAUCUGUUAAUACAAAUACAGAGAAUACAACACACACAAAGGUUUGGAGAGUCAGGGCACAAGACAAGAAAUUAAACACAACAAGAGAGGGGUGAGGUCAAGCAGGGCAACAAGAUCAGGACCAGCACCCACAACAUUCAAGACUGAAUGUGGCAGAGAGCAACCUCCAGGCCAGACAACAUAUUUCGUUGGCAUAUAUCUUUGCAGAAACUGAAGCUGUAAAUCCCAAGCUUCUUCAUUACUGAUAUAGUUGAUUGAGGUAGGGCGCCCCUAACCCCAAACACAAGCGGCAUUGAGACAGUUCCACCGAUGCCAAAGAUGUGAGACACUUUCUUCUCAAUAACUUUAUAUUUUUGCACUUUCUCCUUGGCCGCACGCAUCAAGGAGUCGGAGUUCUCAUAUCUAACCGUCACAUCACAAAUAUAAGCUGUGUCUCCUCUCUUCACCACCAAAUCGGGCCUGAACAUCUGCGAAUCCACUGACAAUGUUUGCUCCUUCGCAACAGUUACAUCAGAUUUUAGACUGAGUUUUUCACAUAUCAUGUCACGAAUUUUAUUGUGUCUCUGGAUUCGCUCAGCCAAGUUGCCCUCACAGUAUCCAGUAAUAUGGGCAAGCGUCUCAUGAGGAUGUCUACACUUUCUACAUGAUCGCUCUCUCAUCUUAUCCUCGUGCCACAGUGCGUCUCUCGUGCCGAGGGUAUUGGUCCUGUAUUUUAACAAAUUUAUGAACUUAGACUCAGAUUUAAUAAUACGGUUAUUAUAUAGCCAGUAGUUGGCAACCUUAUUACCAGACAGGGCUUUUACCCCAUGACCAGUAGAUGCGUUCUCUGCCCAUGAUACAGACUCAUCUCUCUUUAGGUUCAUUUUAACUCUAUCAAAGUCAGCCUUUACAGGCUCAGGCGGUAGGCCCAUUAACCCUAGAAUGGUAACAUACCUGAUCCAAACGUUAAUGGUAACGUGUAGUCUCUCAGACUACUUGAGGAAUAAAUUGAAAAAAAAAAACUACAAAAGAUGAAAAAUGAUCAUAUUUUAUUUUCAAAUAUUUUUACUUACAUGUUUUAUGAUGAUUUCAUUUCAUUGAUUUCAAUUGUUGAUUUUUUUCUCACACUCUAUACACACUUUUCCCAUAUGCUCCAAGCAUAUGUGUUUAGCGCAGAAAUGACAUUGGUAUCGAGUCAUCCUUCUCUUCUUACUUGGGCAAAUCGAACAGAUUUUCCUUGUAGAAUCUUCUCGAUGAGUAUCUUGAGCUGGGGAAACGGAUGGUCCAGCAAUAUCUUGAAUCUGACGCUUGAGACUCCUUGACAAACUUGGGAGCUUUUGACGUUCCAAGAUUUGUGGUGAGGUCAGCGCAGUACAGACAUCUUUUGCAAAUGCUCUUCGAGUUAUAGGUUUCUUAUUUUUGGCAACCUCUUGAUGCACAUAUUAUAAUGUAUGAGUUGAUUAUCAUGCUGUUUAUCAUUCCAUAAAAAUGCAUUUUGGCCAUCUUCUGGUUUUGCGGGAGCAAGACAUCAAGGUUGACAUUUCAUCAAAAGUGUCAACAGCACCUUUUGUGGAAUUGUAGUAUUCAAUAAUGUCAGGCUUCCCACUAGCACCAAUUGUUGGCUUUUCGUGUGUAGUGGAUAGCAGAAGAACUUGUUUUGUUUUUUUAGCCUGAUAUGAAACUAAAGUUUUGAGUCCAUCAAAGCAAAAUUUUGAUUUCCCACAUUCCUCUUUUUGAAGCAUUUCUUUUGGUAUCUCUGGCUUAUCCCGUCGCAGUGUUCCUACAAUUGUCAGUUUAUAGGUCUCCAGCAUCAAUUUUGCCAGAGGUACUGAUGUAAACCAAUUAUCGAGAGUAAGAUUCCUAUUGGUGUUAUGAACUGGUUUUGAAAUCUCCCUGACAAAAUAUGUAGAAGAAGGAAGGUUAUCUCUAUCCAUAUUCUUACCAGUGUAUGGUAUUGCAUUUAUUAGGUAUUUUGUUUUGACAUCACACAUCAUGAAUAUUUUUAUACCAUACUUCGAGGGCUUGUUUGGCAUGUACAUCCUAAAACUACAAAGACCCCUAAAUGCCAGUAACUGUUCAUCAAUAGUUAAAUAUGAUCCUGGAGUAUAGAAUCUUUGACAUAGUUCAAUAAAGUCCUGGAAUACCUCGCGAAUCGGUGCAAACUUGUCACUUGCCUGUCUUUCAAGCCUAUGACCAAGCUUCACUAUAUUUGGGGGAUCACUAAAAAUUCACAACUUAUAGUUAAUUCUCAGGCAGAAUUUCUGUAUUUUUUGAAUUAUUUUCUAUCGACGCUCUUGGUAUAACACACUUUCAGAAAUUACAUCCUCAGUUUAUCUGGAUGAUGGGGAUAUUUUAGGAAUAGUUUUACAGGUAAUCCAAUAAGUGGCCCUCAACAAGCUACGUUUAAAACAUUGAACAAAUAAAAAAUAAUUAAUUUACAAAUAUAUCUGAGAUAAUAAACAGAUUAAAGAAAAUGGGACCUCUAAAACUACUCCAUCAACUCCAUGAGAGCAUGAGAGUGCAAAUACUUCUAGCCACGUUUAAAACAUUGAACAAAUAAAAAAUAAUUAAUUUACAAAUAUAUCUGAGAUAAUUAACAGAUUAAAGAAAAUGGGACCUCUAAAACUACUCCAUCAACUCCAUGAGAGUGCAAAUAUUUCUAGCCAGGCAUCUCAUUACAGAACAGCAAACUAAUACAUCUUCUGGAGCAGUGGAGGUUUUUUCACAGGCUCUGGUUUGCACCUAGAUUUACAUCUGUACGAAAUAAAGUUACUGAACUAGAUUGUACUCAUUCAUUUCCGAAAUUUUCCUUUCAAUGGCAAGUACUUGAUUCCUUUUUCUUUUGUUUAAAAUUGUUUGGAAGAGUUUGAAUGCACGACCCUCUAGUUUCUCUAGAUUUAUAGACCUAGAUCUAGAUUUGCAUCUUUCAGAUCUAAAUUUCUGAAUUUUUUUGAGGGCAGCAUCCACUGUGGAUGUAAUAUCCAUAUUUUCUUGGUUAGUACUAUUUUUUUCUCUUGGAGUGUUUUGUUAAAUGAUAGUACAUCACACAACCAUAAUGGAUGAUCUAUGAAUGUGGUCUUCGGGGAUAAGUGCAAAGCCUUCUCAAUAGUAGGAGUACUAGAUUGUUAUCCUUCGCCCAUCUAUGCCUAAUUAAAACUAAAACAAUAGAAAUGUUACAUUCACAUUUCAAAAAUUACUUUUCCUAUAUCAGUGUUAGAAGUCCAAAAAAUCGGGCGAAUCGCUUAAGAGCUCCCUUUCUUUAGGGUGCAAACCGAUUACAGUCUCUUGUUCUCCAAAACCUUCUUGAUCAAUCUUAUGUAAAAACUCUCUGGGGUUACUAUAGUUUGAUUGUAACCAUCGGAUGAUUACAGAGCGCUGUUGUGCAGCUGCACACCCUCCAUUCUUUUGAAUUUCUAGUAGUAGCUCAUCCCUAUUUAGAGAGGAAGCUUUGUCGGAUAUCAUCUCGGACAGUUCAUAUUUUUCCGGGAUGGAGAAUGUCUUCUCAAAUUUGAUAUUUUUCCAAUCGUGGAGAUUGUAAGAUUGAUGAGAGGGUUCAAUCUCCUGUCACUCUGAAAUUCGGGUGCUGAUAUAACUUGUGUUGGUCUUGUCCAGGAGGAUAAGCUGGGGGUACUUCUGAUGUUUCUUGAAUAUGCCAGGCAGAAAUAUUCUCUCCACUUGUUAUGUAUCUUCAGGAGCAGUGGAGGUUUUUCACAGGCUCUGGUUUGCACCAGAAACAAGUUACUGAACUAAAUUGUACUCAUUCAUUUCCGAAAUUUUCCUUUCAAUGGCAAGUACUUGAUUUCUUUUGUUCAGAAUUGUUUGAAAAAUUUUGAAUGCACGACCCUCUAGUUUCUCUAGAUUUAUAGACCUAGAUCUAGAUUUGCAUCUUUCAGAUCUAAAUUUCUGAAUUCUUUUGAGGGCAGCAUCCACUGUGGAUGUAAUAUCCAUAUUGUAUGUUAGUCAGAUCUAUGGUUUUCUCUUGGAUUGUUUUGUUAAAUGAUAGUAGAUCACACCACAAUGAUGGUUGAUCAAUGAAUGGGGUUUUCGGGGAUAAGUGCAAAGCCUUCUCAAUAGUAGGAGUACUAAAUUGUUAUCCUCCCCCUCCCCUCAUCUAUGCUUAAUACAACUAAAACAAUAGAAAUUUUACUUUCAUAUUUCAAUCAUUAAAUUUUCAAAACAUUUUGUUUAUGUUGUAUUGUUGAAUUUUGAGGUUGUCAGGCUCAUUUAAUGUAUCUUUAAAAUUCAUACUCGAAUGAUUCUGCUUCCCUUGCUAUGUGGACAUAAUGUUUCUUUUUCAAAAUGUUUCAUAGUCGAAUGCUAUGAACCUUCUGGUAGUGACAUAAGUUGCACUAUGGGCAUCUAUACAUUCUGCUGUCAUGCAUGCGCGAUGGUAUGCAAUUUCCUCGAUAGGAACUGAUACGUUGGGUAUAUGUUGAAUCCUCUAAUUAUGUAUAAAAUUGUUGAUGCUUUUUGAAUGAAUAUUCAAAUGUAUUUCUGAGAUUUAUAGUCUUCUGUAAUAUUCUCAAUAUUAAGCAUUACCACUAACAUUUUUCGCCCCUCUUUUGGAGCAGAGGAGGUUUUUUCGCGGGCUCUGGUUUGCACCUAGAUUUACAUCUGUAUGUGACAAGUUACUGAACUAAAUUGUACUCAUUCAUUUCCGAAACUUUCCUUGCAAUGGCAAGUAAUUGAUUUGAUGUUGUUCUGUUCACAAUUGAUUUGAUAAGUUUGAAUGCACGACCCUCUUGUUUCUCUAGAUUUAUAGACUCAGACCUACAUUUACACCUUUCAGAUCUGAAUUUCUGAAUUCGUUUUCUAAUGAGAGAAAGCAAGAAAUGCAUCAAUAUUCAAAAAAUUGUAGUAUAAAUAAAAUACUUGGUCAUACAUUCCUAGAAAUAUCUGGCUCCCACUUAAAUAUCCUCAUCAGGCCCACUUGACUUCUUGUUCUUCAACUGCAAUGACAUUAUCAUUUGAUAGUCAAGGGAUUGUGGAAAUGAUGUUGACUCCGAACUGGCAUUGCCUCAUCAUUCCGAACUCCAUCCACUGAAAUUGAAAUUGAAAUUAUGUUUAUUCUUCUUCUUAUGAAUAUCCUCAUCAGGCCCACUUGACUUCCUGUUCUUCAACUGCAAUGACAUUAUCAUUUGAUAGUCUAGGGAUUGUGGAAAUGAUGUUGACUCCGAACUGGCAUUGCCUCAUCAUUCCGAACUCCAUCCACUGAAUUGAAAUUGAAAUUGAAAUUAUCUUUAUUCUUCUUCUUCUUAUGAAGUACAAACAAUUUACAGAGUACAAAACUUGAAGAAGGUUCCUCAUAUGGGCAAAGCCUGUAUUGGACAUAUCAAAUGUUUCAGUGGAAAUUUAAAAAAAGGGAAAUUGAAACUAUUUGAAUUUUCACAGCCACAUUGAAUUAUGGAGUCCAACAAAGGCAGCUAUUGUGCGAAAUGAAUGACAUUUGACAGCAUUAUUGACUGAUGGAACCCGAAUUGUAGACAAGGUCAAACUUUUUU
Molecule: long non-coding RNA, 6117 nt
Organism: Nilaparvata lugens (brown planthopper)
Lineage: Eukaryota; Metazoa; Arthropoda; Insecta; Hemiptera; Delphacidae
Exons: 2
Source: RefSeq, a predicted model, not a curated record